UACGGAAGGCAGCAGUGGGGAAUAUUGGACAAUGGGCGAAAGCCUGAUCCAGCCAUGCCGCAUGAGUGAAGAAGGCCUUCGGGUUGUAAAGCUCUUUUAGUGAGAAAGAUAAUGACGGUACUCACAGAAGAAGUCCUGGCUAACUCCGUGCCAGCAGCCGCGGUAAUACGGAGAGGGCUAGCGUUAUUCGGAAUUAUUGGGCGUAAAGAGCGCGUAGGCUGAUUAGUAAGUUAAAAAGUGAAAUCCCAAAGCUUAAACUUUGGAAUUGCUUUUUAAAAACUGCUAGUCUAGAGAUUGAAAGAGGAUAGAGGAAUUCCUAGUGUAGAGGUGAAAUUCGUAAAUAUUAGGAGGAACACCAGUGGCGAAGGCGUCUAUCUGGUUCAAAUCUGACGCUGAGGCGCGAAGGCGUGGGGAGCAAACAGGGAUUAGAUACC
RNAcentral lists this ribosomal RNA (434 nucleotides) under uncultured bacterium. RNAcentral describes it as "bacterial SSU rRNA". It matches the Rfam family "Bacterial small subunit ribosomal RNA", at positions 340 to 786 of the family's 1533-position model. The record is from RNAcentral.